CAGCCAGCUGGCCUAUUCCUUCAGCAACACCGGCUCUAAACCACCGCAAAAACUAGAAGGACAACUCCCAGCAGGCAUCCUAAAGACUUGCAACAGGCCAUGAUGGUUUCCAAGACACAAGCUAACCUCCACCCUUUCGAUACCAUCACUGAAUCUCCCACAAUCGACAUCAUUGGGGUUAUCAUUGACGAGAAACUGAAUGAGCCAAAAUACAAUGGCUACAACAGCGGGUCAGAAGCUGGGAAUCCUGCGAAUCGCCAGGAAUUUCAGUCAAAUCGCGACACAACAUCGAGAGAUUGCGAUUGGAUGAGAGAGUGCUGUUGAGCGAUACCAGGAACUGUGAAGGAGGCAAUCUCCUCACUGAGGCAAAAUUA
Stegostoma tigrinum is the source of this 374-nucleotide long non-coding RNA. RefSeq lists it as uncharacterized. The transcript has 3 exons. NCBI's taxonomy places the organism in Eukaryota, Metazoa, Chordata, Chondrichthyes, Orectolobiformes, Stegostomatidae. The record is from RefSeq and is a predicted model, not a curated record.